AGAGUUUGAUCCUGGCUCAGAUUGAACGCUGGCGGUAUGCUUAACACAUGCAAGUCGAACGGUAACAGGCGAAGCUUGCUUUGCGCUGACGAGUGGCGGACGGGUGCGUAACGCGUGGGAAUUUACCUUGUAGUGGGGGAUAGCCCGGAGAAAUCCGGAUUAAUACCGCAUAAUCUCUACGGAGCAAAGUGGGGGAUCUUCGGACCUCACGCUAUUAGAUGAGCCCGCGUUAGAUUAGCUUGUUGGUGGGGUAAUGGCUCACCAAGGCAACGAUCUAUAGCUGGUUUGAGAGGAUGAUCAGCCACACUGGGACUGAGACACGGCCCAGACUCCUACGGGAGGCAGCAGUGGGGAAUAUUGGACAAUGGGCGCAAGCCUGAUCCAGCAAUACCGCGUGUGUGAAGAAGGCCUGAGGGUUGUAAAGCACUUUCAAUAGAGACGAAAAGCUUAGGGUUAAUAGCCCUGAGUCUUGACUUAACCUAUAGAAGAAGCACCGCUAACU
This 502-nucleotide ribosomal RNA is filed under the name uncultured bacterium. RNAcentral's name for it is "bacterial SSU rRNA". It matches the Rfam family "Bacterial small subunit ribosomal RNA", at positions 8 to 502 of the family's 1533-position model. The record is from RNAcentral.